GCGGCUGUAGCUCAAUUGGUAGAGCACCAGCUUGCCAUGCUGGUUGUUGUCGGUUCGAGUCCGAUCAGCCGCUCCA
This 76-nucleotide transfer RNA is filed under the name Planctomycetota bacterium. RNAcentral describes it as "Planctomycetes bacterium (activated sludge metagenome) tRNA-Gly". It matches the Rfam family "tRNA". Rfam says of the family: Transfer RNA (tRNA) molecules are approximately 80 nucleotides in length. Lineage: Bacteria; Pseudomonadati; Planctomycetota. The record is from RNAcentral.